GAGUAAUAGCUAAAUAAGUAAAUGUUUUGAAAACAUUUGAUAAGGUUUUAUAAACUUAAUAUUUU
Molecule: transfer RNA, 65 nt
Filed under: Armadillidium vulgare (common pillbug)
Lineage: Eukaryota; Metazoa; Arthropoda; Malacostraca; Isopoda; Armadillidiidae
Description: tRNA-Ser
Source: RNAcentral